AAAAUAUAAUAAGUAGUGUAAAUUACAGAAUUUAGUAAAUUAUCGAAUCUUUAAACGUAUAUUACGCCCUUUGGUAUUUCUUAGGGUAUACCUGUUCGAGCGUUAUUUUAAAAUUCAAGCUUAGCUUAGUAAUAGGUGUCUGUCCUGCCUUGUGCGUAUAGACUCGCCUUAAAAGCAAUUGGCAGCUUUCUUUAUAGGCUCUAAACGCAGCAGAUUUAUAUUAUAUACUCUAAAGCGAGGCUUUCUAGUAAGCGAAACCUCCUAAAAAUUAACCUUGAAUUAGGUAGGGAUACCCGCUAAACUUAA
Molecule: unclassified non-coding RNA, 306 nt
Filed under: uncultured Ascomycota
Lineage: Eukaryota; Fungi; Ascomycota
Description: sequence contains ITS1
Rfam family: 5.8S ribosomal RNA (bases 1-105)
Source: RNAcentral